Molecule: ribosomal RNA, 467 nt
Filed under: uncultured bacterium
Lineage: Bacteria
Description: partial 16S ribosomal RNA
Rfam family: Bacterial small subunit ribosomal RNA
Source: RNAcentral
GACGAACGCUGGCGGCGUGCUUAACACAUGCAAGUCGAACGGAAAGGCCUCUUUCGGGGGGUACUCGAGUGGCGAACGGGUGAGUAACACGUGAGUAACCUGCCCUUGACUUUGGGAUAACUUCAGGAAACUGGGGCUAAUACCGGAUAGGAGCUCCUGCUGCAUGGUGGGGGUUGGAAAGUUUCGGCGGUUGGGGAUGGACUCGCGGCUUAUCAGCUUGUUGGUGGGGUAGUGGCUUACCAAGGCUUUGACGGGUAGCCGGCCUGAGAGGGUGACCGGCCACAUUGGGACUGAGAUACGGCCCAGACUCCUACGGGAGGCAGCAGUGGGGAAUAUUGCACAAUGGGUGGAAGCCUGAUGCAGCAACGCCGUGUGCAGGAUGACGGCCUUCGGGUUGUAAACCGCUUUCGCUCAUGACGAAGCUUUGUGUGACGGUAGUGGGUAAAGAAGCACCGGCUAACUACGUG